GACGAACGCUGGCGGCGCGCUUAACACAUGCAAGUCGAACGGAAAGGCCUGCUUUCCCUUGUGGAUUGCGGGUACUCGAGUGGCGAACGGGUGAGUAACACGUGAGUGAUCUGCCCCCAACUUGGGUAUAAGCCUGGGAAACUGGGUCUAAUUACCGAUAGGACGGCAGGGUGGUGCCUGUGGUGGAAAACGCUUUUCUAGUGGUUGGGGAUGAGCUCGCGGCCUCUCAGCUUGUUGGUGGGGGAAUGGCCUACCAAGGCGGCGACGGGUAGCCGGCCUGAGAGGGUGGACGGCCACAUUGGGACUGAGAUACGGCCCAGACUCCUACGGGAGGCAGCAGUGGGGAAUAUUGCACAAUGGGCGGAAGCCUGAUGCAGCGACGCCGCGUGGGGGAUGACGGCCUUCGGGUUGUAAACUCCUUUCGACCGCGAGGAAGCCACCUGGUUGGAAGGGUGGUGACGGUAGUGGUAGAAGAAGCACCGGCUAACUACGUG
Molecule: ribosomal RNA, 494 nt
Filed under: uncultured bacterium
Lineage: Bacteria
Description: partial 16S ribosomal RNA
Rfam family: Bacterial small subunit ribosomal RNA
Source: RNAcentral